AUUGAACGCUGGCGGCAGGCCUAACGCAUGCAAGUCGAGCGGAUGAAGGGAGCUUGCUCCUGGAUUCGGCGGCGGACGGGUGAGUAAUGCCUAGGAAUCUGCCUGGUAGUGGGGGAUAACGUCCGGAAACGGGCGCUAAUACCGCAUACGUCCUGAGGGAGAAAGUGGGGGAUCUUCGGACCUCACGCUAUCAGAUGAGCCUAGGUCGGAUUAGCUAGUUGGUGGGGUAAAGGCCUACCAAGGCGACGAUCCGUAACUGGUCUGAGAGGAUGAUCAGUCACACUGGAACUGAGACACGGUCCAGACUCCUACGGGAGGCAGCAGUGGGGAAUAUUGGACAAUGGGCGAAAGCCUGAUCCAGCCAUGCCGCGUGUGUGAAGAAGGUCUUCGGAUUGUAAAGCACUUUAAGUUGGGAGGAAGGGCAGUAAGUUAAUACCUUGCUGUUUUGACGUUACCAACAGAAUAAGCACCGGCUAACUUCGUG
RNAcentral lists this ribosomal RNA (484 nucleotides) under uncultured bacterium. RNAcentral's name for it is "partial 16S ribosomal RNA". It matches the Rfam family "Bacterial small subunit ribosomal RNA", at positions 30 to 507 of the family's 1533-position model. The record is from RNAcentral.